ACGGAGGCAGCAGUGGGGAAUAUUGCACAAUGGGCGAAAGCCUGAUGCAGCGACGCCGCGUGAGCGAUGAAGUAUUUCGGUAUGUAAAGCUCUAUCAGCAGGGAAGAUAAUGACGGUACCUGACUAAGAAGCACCGGCUAAAUACGUGCCAGCAGCCGCGGUAAUACGUAUGGUGCAAGCGUUAUCCGGAUUUACUGGGUGUAAAGGGAGCGUAGGCGGCAUGGCAAGUCUGAUGUGAAAACCCAGGGCUCAACCUUGGGAUUGCAUUGGAAACUGUCAAGCUAGAGUGUCGGAGGGGUAAGUGGAAUUCCCAGUGUAGCGGUGAAAUGCGUAGAUAUUGGGAGGAACACCAGUGGCGAAGGCGGCUUACUGGACGAUUACUGACGCUGAGGCUCGAAAGCGUGGGGAGCAAACAGGAUUAGAUACCCUGGUA
This 433-nucleotide ribosomal RNA is filed under the name uncultured Pseudobutyrivibrio sp. RNAcentral describes it as "partial 16S ribosomal RNA". It matches the Rfam family "Bacterial small subunit ribosomal RNA", at positions 341 to 792 of the family's 1533-position model. Lineage: Bacteria; Bacillati; Bacillota; Clostridia; Lachnospirales; Lachnospiraceae. The record is from RNAcentral.